UUUUUUUUUUUUCUUUCCAGUUUGAUGACCCAGGACAUAAACAUGCAAGAAGUUUAUUUUCACUUUAGAUAAAGCCAAUUAGCUAAGACAGAGGGCCAUCUGAAUUACCAGGUGAAUCUAAGAUGAACAUAUGUGACAAAUAGCACUGUCAAGACCUCCUACUUGAGGACUAAUUAUUGCUUACCUUGAGAAAAUGUCUGUAAUGGACUUUAUCUGCUUAGCUAUAUAAAACAGUGAGAUUUCUUCCUGUCCUUACCAUCUCUUAACAGAUUGUCUGUAAUGCACGUGAUAUUCAAGUUUAAAUUUAAUUCAAUAUUAAAAUGGUUUUCUUUCUCUUCUACCUUUGUGAAGAAGUUUUCUGGGUUGGGAGGAGAUUUUGUUUUUAAUUCUAUUUCCCCGGCACCCAUGAAACUCCCUACUUCUGUUUUGCCCCAGGACAGACCAUGAACUCCUUUAGAAUAGAGUCUCAACCUUUUUCUUCUGAACCUCCCCAUUGUCUACAUGUUGACUGACGCAUAAGACACACGUAAUGGGGUGUCAUAAACAGGCAAUGACAAGGGAUUGAAUGCAUGCAUGAAUGGACGGAUCCAUUGAUUGAUCUAUGAGUCUGAAGUGCCUAUGUUGGUGCCUAUUACAUAGUAGAUAGGCAAAGUUGUUGGAUGAUAAAAGAAAGGAAGGGAGAAAGAUGGGGAGGCAAGGAAUGUAACUGAAUGAGUAUAUGUUUCCAGGUGUCAGCAUGUACUGAAAAGUCACAAUCAACAUCUUCUUAAAGUAACAAAGACCCAUAGAUACCCAGUUCUUACCAUUUCCAUAGCUGUGUCCCACAACUCCGUAUUCCUCAUCUAUCUUGAAUCUUGAACCCCUGAAAUCCUGAACACCUUUGGAGGCAGCUAGGGCAAUGUGAGAUCUCCAGAAUGAUAUUUUCAUUGUGAUGAUAAAAAUCAAGUUUCCCCUUUUCUCCUUACCUUUUUCCCUUCUGUGCCUUCUUUCCCUGGCUUUCCUGGGAGACCUUUGUCCCCCUUAAAACCUGGUAGACCAGGGAGGCCUGGGGGGCCAGGAGGGCAGUCACUGCACACAUCCUGAGAGGGGAGAGAGGGAGGGACAAGCAGAGAAUGACUAGCAAACACAGUUUCAAAGCAAAGCAAAGUAGCCCCGGCUGCUGCCUCUCCAGAUGGAGAUUUUGUUUUUAAAUACCAGAGAAGAUAGAAAAGCAAAUAGGUGGACUGAGUCAUGAUCCAAAUACUUUUGUGUCUAAACUUUGCAUUUUCCCUUUCUUCACUGAAAGUUAGGUUUCGGCACUGACAUGUCUGGAUAUUUCUCCAUUUCCUCCUACUUCCACGCAGACUUCUGGAAGGAUAGCCUGAGGAAAUGAUGUCAAAAAUUCAUGUAAAAUGAUCUGUGAGCAUCUGAAAACAUUAACAGAGCAGAUUUAAUACAAACAUUUAGUAUUACUAAAAAUAGCAUGCUCUGUCCCUGAUGUUAGAGGCCAAGCUGGGAGCUGAAUUCUCUGUUCUGAGUUUGCCCAAGCCAAGUGGUUUCUGAACAAGGAAGAAGGAUAAACAAGGCGACAGGCACACACCCUUGGGACUUUGUUUCUGUGACACAAUCCAGGCUCUGACCAUGCUUAGCUUUAUUUUUUACCCAAGGUAAGCAUUUAAUAAAUGGUCCCUGGAGUUGGGCUUUGUUCUACUUCUUUACGGCAGGUAAAUACUGCUCCUUGAGUAAAUUUAAAGUCCUCUGAGCCCGGAGCAUGUGUUUUCUGAUUUGUCGGAUCUUACAGUUUGGAGCACACUAUGCGCUAAACAAAACUCACCUGACUGUACUCCAGCCUGCCUCCUCCACCUGCCUUGUGGUUUACCUCCUCCAUGCCCUUCUCUCUAAUCUUCCCUCUCAUCCACCCUGCCUGUCUCCUUGUAAUAGGAAUUUAAUGGAUAACACAAGUAAAGCACUUAGAAUACUCUCAAGAAAGAUUAGAUAGAUGGAUAGAUAGAUGAUAGAUAGAUACACAGAUACAUAGAUAGAUAAUGCCCACACAUUUAGCCAUUAUUGCUAAUUUAUUUAUUCACUCAGUCAUUCACUCAUUGAAAAAAUACUUGAAAGGCACCUACUAUGUGUCGGGCACUGUGAUAAGUUUGGGACCACAGUGAGUGUGUGUCUUGAAGAGCUCUCAGUUCAACACUGUCAACUGACACAAACACAUGCACUAACUAUGGUCUUUUGAAAGCCC
RNAcentral lists this long non-coding RNA (2227 nucleotides) under Macaca fascicularis (crab-eating macaque). RNAcentral describes it as "lncRNA (ENSMFAG00000050357.1)". The record is from RNAcentral. Lineage: Eukaryota; Metazoa; Chordata; Mammalia; Primates; Cercopithecidae.